RNAcentral lists this ribosomal RNA (122 nucleotides) under Echinostoma caproni. Lineage: Eukaryota; Metazoa; Platyhelminthes; Trematoda; Plagiorchiida; Echinostomatidae. The record is from RNAcentral.
GGAUGAGACCAUACACCUCUGGAAACACUGGUUCUCGUCUGAUCACCGAAGUUAAGCAACGUCGGGUCCAGUUAGUACUGGCUUAGUUGACCGGCUGGGAAUAACGGGUUUGAGGCCGUUCC